GGCCUUGGAGUGUAAACACGCGGGGUUGCAAACCCUGAGAUGCAGAUAAUUCCUGUCGGGGCUU
RNAcentral lists this transfer RNA (64 nucleotides) under Odorrana narina. Its description in RNAcentral is "tRNA-Cys". It matches the Rfam family "tRNA". Rfam says of the family: Transfer RNA (tRNA) molecules are approximately 80 nucleotides in length. Their secondary structure includes four short double-helical elements and three loops (D, anti-codon, and T loops). The record is from RNAcentral. Lineage: Eukaryota; Metazoa; Chordata; Amphibia; Anura; Ranidae.